This 165-nucleotide ribosomal RNA is filed under the name Triticum aestivum (bread wheat). RNAcentral's name for it is "partial small subunit ribosomal RNA". Lineage: Eukaryota; Viridiplantae; Streptophyta; Magnoliopsida; Poales; Poaceae. The record is from RNAcentral.
AUGCAAGACUACUUCACGGACAAUCCAACAUAUCUGCCGCACCUCUUUCGGAGAAGGUACCGAAUGUGCCGAUCCCUCUUUGUAAAAAUAGUGCAAGAUUGCGAGGCCAAUUGUCAGUAUUUUACUCAAAGAAGAAAUGUCGCGGGCUUGAAGGGAUUUAGUGCA